GCUUACGGCCACACCGCCUGGUUCACGCCCGAUCUCGUUUGAUCUCGGAAGCUAAGAUAGGAUGGGCCUGGUUAGUACUUGGAUGGGAGACCGCCUGGGAAUACCAGGUGUUGUAAGAU
Molecule: ribosomal RNA, 119 nt
Filed under: Scophthalmus maximus (turbot)
Lineage: Eukaryota; Metazoa; Chordata; Actinopteri; Pleuronectiformes; Scophthalmidae
Source: RNAcentral